GGGCUCGUAGCUCAGAAAGGUAGAGCAGCGGGCUUUUAACCCGUCGGCCGCGGGUUCAAAUCCCGUCGAGCCCG
RNAcentral lists this transfer RNA (74 nucleotides) under archaeon. RNAcentral's name for it is "tRNA-Lys". It matches the Rfam family "tRNA". From Rfam's summary of the family: Transfer RNA (tRNA) molecules are approximately 80 nucleotides in length. Their secondary structure includes four short double-helical elements and three loops (D, anti-codon, and T loops). The record is from RNAcentral. RNAcentral also lists the same sequence under 5 other names.